Non-coding RNA from Petromyzon marinus (sea lamprey), 4273 nucleotides. NCBI's taxonomy places the organism in Eukaryota, Metazoa, Chordata, Hyperoartia, Petromyzontiformes, Petromyzontidae. The record is from RefSeq and is a predicted model, not a curated record.
GCGGGGCCCCAUCGCGUCACGCGGGGUCGGAGGUCACAGGCGUCGGCCACCACCGCCACCACCAACCCACCGGCCGUGAUUUGUGGUUUAUUUUUGAUGUCGCCUUUGGACCGCGUCGUCGUUACGAAGAAUCGAUUCGUCCGUCAACGCCAAUCCCGUCGUCAGUCACGGGCGAUGAUUUCCGCGCGCGGUGUGACGCCGAGCGCGGGCGAGCGACGCCGCGGCUGUUGACCGAGCGGGAGGCGAGGGGCCGCGAUGUCAGCGGGCGGCGGCCCAGGGACCCGGGCCGAGGCUGAGAUUGGCCCCGAAUUUGGGCCAGGGGCCGGGUCAGUGUCUGGUUCAAGAUCAGAAUCUGUACUUGGAUCUCGACCAGGGUCUGGCUUAGGCUUAGAACUUGGAUCAGUGGUAGCACCUGGGUCUGAAGCUGGCUUUGGGUCAGUCCCCGCGUCUGAGUCUGGCUUUGGGUCUGGCUCUUUAUAUUGGAUUGAGUCUGAGCCUGCGUCGGUAUUUGGACCGCGGGAUGGGUCCGUGCCAUUGUUUGGAUCGGAACAUGGAAUUGGACCUGGGUCUAGUCCUACUACUCCGUGCACUUUGGGGCCUGGGAAUGAGCCAGUGCCAAGGUUUGAGUCUGACCCGAGACCAGAUUCUGUCUUAGGAUCUGGCUCUGAAACAAGUUUAGCCGGAUCUGGGUCUCGGUCAGGAUCAGCAACAGAGUCUGGGACAGUAUCUGAGCCAGAGUCAGGCACGGAACUCGCACAAGGACUGCGUGCGGACAUGAUGGGGACGCCCAUGGAGCAGGAGGAGGACAUGGUGACAGACGCCGCGGAGAUCCGCGCGCCCUGUAAGCCACCAGCACACAACUCGGAGCACCAGCGACAGAGCAGUGAGUGGGAGAAUCUGACUGGCUACCUACAGAAGUACACCAACCUGGUGACUGGUUGGCAGUUCAGAUAUUUCGUGCUGGUUGGAGCUGAGGGGCGUCUGGAGUAUCACGUGCAUGAGCAUAGUGCACAGGGAGGCCAGAAACCACGGGGCACCAUUGCUCUGGCAGGCGCUGUGACCUCUCCCAGCGAGGAGGAACCCUAUGCCUUCACGAUCAUCACCUUGACUGGGGAGCAGUACCGCCUGAGGGCCAAGGACGCGCGGGAAAGACAGCACUGGGUGAGCCGCCUACAGGGGUGUGCGCAGCACCACACUGAUUGCAUUGGCAUGAUGAAUCCUGUGUUGGGUCAUGAACUCUACCUCUCGGGGGUCAAGAGGUCAGCGCUAUCUCCUGGGGCCUUAUUGCGAAGGCCAUAUGCGACAAGGGAGGAUGCAAUUGCAGAUAAAAGACACUCAUAUCCAGGCAGCAAGACUUUAAUACAUGGAAACAACUGGCUGUCCGAUGCACAGUGGCUUUGCGUGUGUCUGUGCCAGAUGCUGGUGCGUGCCUAUGAGGAGCAGCGUGCCCUGGCGUUGACCAUGGAAGCUCUGCCACGCUCACACGCUCGCAUCACACCGCUGGAUCCUGACCUUCUUCUGCUCAAAGCAUCGGCCGUCUCAGCCCUUGGCUGCCUGCACGCCUGUCUGCACCUGCUGCAAAUGCAGCGUAGUGCGGCGCACACCCACCGAGGGCGGGCCAGGGUCGGUGGGGGCGGCAGAGGCAGUGACGGUGGCGGGAGUUCUCCGGGUCGGCAGCACAGUGUGGCCAUGGCAGACCCUGCGGGGAGAGUCCACUCAUUGCAACCUGUCGUGGUAGCCCCUGUGCCACCGUGCGAUUCUGUGAACCCCGGGAACAUGUGCUCUCACGCCCCAGACGGCACAUCGGACACUUCUCAUCAUGAGUCGGAGCCAGCUCCACCACCUUCUUCUGUCUCAAUGUCAGCACAGCAGGAUUUAAUGGGCUCGUUUCAGGGAGUGGGGUGGAACGGACCACAUUGGGGUGGCGAACAAGAGGACUGCGACGAGGAUGAGCUGACCGAUGAGGGCGAACUUGAUGAGCUGGAUCUGCCUCCGCCCCAAGGGGAGGAGCACUACAGCAUCAUUUUGCACAUGCUGUCUCAGCUCAAGCUCGGCAUGGACCUUACUAAGGUGGUGCUGCCCACCUUCAUCCUGGAGUGUCGCUCGCUGCUGGAGAUGUUUUCCGACUUCAUGGCGCACACGGAUGCAUUCCUGGCUGUGGCGUGGGGCCAAACUGCAGAGGAGCGCAUGUGUCUACUCCUGCAGUACUACCUGUCCUCCUUUCGCGAGGGCCGCAAGGGCGCCGUUGCCAAGAAACCGUACAACCCCAUAAUCGGCGAAGCUUUCCGCUGCUCUUGGCUCGUGCCGCGUACUUGGGUGAUGGCGAAAAGCCGUAAGGAAGUCAGUCCUGGGUCUGUGAAGAACUCACCUGGGUGUGGAACUGAGUCUGACUAUAGUUCAGGGGAGAAGCCCGAGCCGAGGUCAAAUGUGGCAUACCGAAGGACGCGGGCGGGAGGAGAGGAUGCCGGUGAAGACGGGUGCUACCGUGUUUGGUUCGUGGCAGAGCAGGUGUCUCACCACCCACCCGUAUCGGCCUUUUAUGUGGAGUGCGCGGAGCUGGGAAUGUGCCUCAACGUACACCUAUGGACCAAGAGCAAGUUCCUAGGCAUGUCUGUGGGCGUCUCAAUGGUCGGGGAAGGGAGGUUGUGGCUGCAGGAGCACGGCGAGGAGUACGUAUUCACGCUGCCGAGCGGAUACGCUCGCUCCAUUCUCACCGUACCCUGGGUGGAGCUGGGAGGAAAAGUGUCCAUUACCUGUGCCCGCACUUGCCUUGCUGCUUCCGUAAAUUUCCACACCAAGCCCUUCUAUGGAGGCAAGCUGCACAGGUGAAAAGGGCAGUAAGAUAGCAGCGGUAUAAUGGGUACUACAUGAAUUACACUUAAGCAUUGGAAGACUGGAUGACACAGAAAAGGUGUACAGGAAACCCUUGUUAAUUCGACACAUUUGGGUCUGUGGCCUUGCCGAAUUAUCCAUUAUUCCGAAUUAUGUACAAUGGUACUCCCGAGUGCCUCCUGCCCCAAUAAAGAAAAAUCCAGUGUGUUUUCCAAACUCUUCAUACACCAUAUGCAUUGACACACCUUCAUCAAUUAUAUCCACAAUUUUGGAUUUGUCUCAGAGACUAAAGGAUUUAUACUUCAGUCCCUUUCCAUUACUUCUUAGGUGCAGACGACAUUUCUGAGAGGGUUGGCUUGCACAGAGUGCAUCAACAAGGUAAAGUCCAAAGCAACAGGUCUGCAGUAACGCUCACCACGCACGCCGCCACUCGACUGAGUCGUUGUUUUGGUCGUGGCGCGUGGAGUCCACGCGUAUGCGGAAAUUGGAUCAUUCGGUACGGCAGUUCGGCUCAUGGAAAAUUACUAACAUGCUAUAUAUGUCGAAAGUGCACCCGUGCCAAAUUAUCCCCAAUUACGAAUGAUCAUAUACCGAAAUAACAAAGUUUUACUGUAUUUGGAUCAGCAGCCGAGUCUUUGGUAAAUUAGUUUAUGCAGCAUGUGCACAAGUUAUGAGGUUGUUUAGGUGGACACACCCCAUAGAGGUCAUUAGAAUGAAUUGGUUCAUAAGUAUGCGGAGGUAACAGGUGGAAAUGAUAUGUGCAGAUAACGGGCUGCAGAAAUCAAUGACUGAAGUUGUGUUCCCCUUUCCUUUAAUACAGGAGUAACGUUUUACAUAAUUGUACUUAGAGCAAUGCUAAUUUUUUUAACUGAAGGCCAUUCAUAAUGUAUACAGUAAUGGUUGACGGACAAAUAUAAUAGUUGACACUGAUAUGAUACUGGUCAUUUGAGUUUGAUUUCUGGCCAGGCAUAUCUGAACUUGGUUAUGGACAACCCCAAGAUAAAUUCAGCCUAAAAUGAGUAGUGCAUUGCGCAUAAGCACUUGGUAGAUGAAAGCAGGCCGUCGAGAUGCCAGCCAUAUCACACCUCUGCCAGCCUUGAUAGUUGUGAAAUAAAAACAAUCCCCAAUAUCUACAAUGUUGGAUGCUGCCAUAGUGGAAUGGUUAGCACACUGGAUUUAAGAAAUUCCCCAUAUCUGUCCACACAGAAGUAUAAAUAGGUCCACCACAGUUGAUUAGCAGGUCGCAAAUGGUGGGGAAAGUGUGCGUACCCCCCACCUCUUCCAAGAUGCCUAAUCAGCACGGAAGAGUAGGCCAAAUACUCCAUCUAUUGAAGGCCUUUCUGCCAGAAGUGACAUGAGCUAUACAUUACAAGCCGGGCACAUUUACCAUUUUUACCUAUAAGGUUAAAUGCCACACCUGACAUUUUUGUCCAUGCGUGCG